UUUACCAGUUUUGCCUUUGGCCCUCCUGAACUUUCUGAAAAGCUAUUCCAGAAGGUUAUGGGACCAUCUCAAACACUGGGAGGUAUCACUGGAGACUGCAGGGGGCAGGGAGAAUCACGGUCCCUUCUAUAAACAGAAGGAGCUCUUCUAUUUCCAGAGGGGUUACCACUAAACAGUUUUGCAAACCAGCUUCAAGCCACGGGAAUGAAAGGAAGGGGAAAUUUGCACCAGCGAAGAAAGAAGCCUGCAGCCCACUCUCUUAACCAUGGUUAAGAAAUUGGCAAUGUUACAGCAAUAGACCACAAGAAACUACUCUCAAAACGUCCCCAAUAAAUCAGAAGAGAUUUUCAAAACCUAUACAGAAAUUGACAGAAUCAUUCAUUGGUAUCUCCAAUAGUGUUUCCUGCCCCCCUCCUAAAUAGUCUACGAAGGAUAUAAUUAAGGAAUGCUACCUGAUUUGUGGUUUCAUUUAUUGUUUCCAGAAGUUUUUCAACUGCUGCCUGAAGUCGAGAACUGAUAUUUAAAACCAGCUCUUUGCUUUUUGAGUCUACUUCCAUUCCAGCAAAGCCAUGCUCUGUAAGGUACUGUGUGAGUUCAAGGCAUUCAUCUGUGACUUCUGACCACAUGAUAUUGCCAUCACCUUCUAGAUCGCUGCCAUGAUACGAAGACGAUGACUUUUCUACACAAAAAUAAUAAUAAAACAAUAAUAAUGGUG
This is a long non-coding RNA of Rhineura floridana, 715 nucleotides long. RefSeq lists it as uncharacterized. Lineage: Eukaryota; Metazoa; Chordata; Lepidosauria; Squamata; Rhineuridae. The record is from RefSeq and is a predicted model, not a curated record. The transcript is spliced from 2 exons.